GAUGAAGAACGUAGCGAAAUGCGAUAAGUAAUGUGAAUUGCAGAAUUCAGUGAAUCAUCGAAUCUUUGAACGCACCUUGCACCCUUUGGCAUUCCGAAGGGUAUGCUCGUUUGAGUGUCAUUGUACUCUCACACUCUCCGAUCCUAUGGAUUCGGGGAGCGGUGGACUUGGGUGUUGCUGCCUUUCCCUGUGGCUCACCUCAAAUGCGUCAGUGCACCUCUUGGUUGGACAUAGUACGGCGUGAUAAGUGUCUUCGCCGGCGCCUCUGUAAGGAGGGUGGCCGAUCGGGAGCUCUGUGCUUCAAACCGUCUUCGGACAAUCUUUGACAACUUGACCUCAAAUCGAGUAGGACUACCCGCUGAACUUAAGCAUAUCAAUAAGCGGAGGA
Molecule: unclassified non-coding RNA, 388 nt
Filed under: soil metagenome
Description: partial contains 5.8S ribosomal RNA, internal transcribed spacer 2, and large subunit ribosomal RNA
Rfam family: 5.8S ribosomal RNA (bases 1-120)
Source: RNAcentral